GGGACAUUACCGAGUUUACAACUCCCAAACCCAAUGUGAACGUUACCAAACUGUUGCCUCGGCGGGAUCUCUGCCCCGGGUGCGUCGCAGCCCCGGACCAAGGCGCCCGCCGGAGGACCAACCAAAACUCUUAUUGUAUACCCCCUCGCGGGUUUUUUUAUAAUCUGAGCCUUCUCGGCGCCUCUCGUAGGCGUUUCGAAAAUGAAUCAAAACUUUCAACAACGGAUCUCUUGGUUCUGGCAUCGAUGAAGAACGCAGCGAAAUGCGAUAAGUAAUGUGAAUUGCAGAAUUCAGUGAAUCAUCGAAUCUUUGAACGCACAUUGCGCCCGCCAGUAUUCUGGCGGGCAUGCCUGUCCGAGCGUCAUUUCAACCCUCGAACCCCUCCGGGGGGUCGGCGUUGGGGAUCGGCCCUGCCUUGGCGGUGGCCGUCUCCGAAAUACAGUGGCGGUCUCGCCGCAGCCUCUCCUGCGCAGUAGUUUGCACACUCGCAUCGGGAGCGCGGCGCGUCCACAGCCGUUAAACACCCAACUUCUGAAAUGUUGACCUCGGAUCAGGUAGGAAUACCCGCUGAACUUAAGCAUAUCAAUAAGCGGAGGGAAUAGC
Molecule: ribosomal RNA, 603 nt
Filed under: Trichoderma harzianum
Lineage: Eukaryota; Fungi; Ascomycota; Sordariomycetes; Hypocreales; Hypocreaceae
Description: eukaryotic LSU rRNA
Rfam family: 5.8S ribosomal RNA (bases 211-364)
Source: RNAcentral